GACGAACGCUGGCGGCGUGCUUAACACAUGCAAGUCGAACGAAGAGCGAUGGAAGCUUGCUUCUAUCAAUCUUAGUGGCGAACGGGUGAGUAACGCGUAAUCAACCUGCCCUUCAGAGGGGGAUAACAGUUGGAAACGACUGCUAAUACCGCAUACGAUCUAAUCUCGGCAUCGAGGAUAGAUGAAAGGUGGCCUCUACAUGUAAGCUAUCACUGAAGGAGGGGAUUGCGUCUGAUUAGCUAGUUGGAGGGGGAACGGCCCACCAAGGCGAUGAUCAGUAGCCGGUCUGAGAGGAUGAACGGCCACAUUGGGACUGAGACACGGCCCAGACUCCUACGGGAGGCAGCAGUGGGGAAUCUUCCGCAAUGGACGAGAGUCUGACGGAGCAACGCCGCGUGAGUGAUGACGGCCUUCGGGUUGUAAAGCUCUGUUAAUCGGGACGAAAGGCCUUCUUGCGAAUAGUGAGAAGGAUUGACGGUACCGGAAUAGAAAGCCACGGCUAACUACGUG
RNAcentral lists this ribosomal RNA (510 nucleotides) under uncultured bacterium. RNAcentral's name for it is "partial 16S ribosomal RNA". It matches the Rfam family "Bacterial small subunit ribosomal RNA", at positions 28 to 507 of the family's 1533-position model. The record is from RNAcentral.